GGAAGAUGCGCGUGUCCGGUGAUGCGGCUGGACUUCAAAUCCAGGCGGGGGCGUAAAAGCCCCCGGAGGGUUCGACUCCCUUCAUCUUCCGCCA
Molecule: transfer RNA, 94 nt
Filed under: Nitrospinota bacterium
Lineage: Bacteria; Pseudomonadati; Nitrospinota
Description: tRNA-Sec
Rfam family: Selenocysteine transfer RNA
Source: RNAcentral